This 680-nucleotide long non-coding RNA is filed under the name Triticum aestivum (bread wheat). RNAcentral describes it as "long non-coding RNA (TAES_LNC018229)". Lineage: Eukaryota; Viridiplantae; Streptophyta; Magnoliopsida; Poales; Poaceae. The record is from RNAcentral.
ACAGCUCAGAAAUCUGAUGUCUGGAAUGACGAGACUUCAAAACUGAGAUUGUUUCUCUUGUUCCUAUCAUGAGAUGCUUGUUAAACGACAAAAAAGGGUUCCGAAUAGAUUACAAAGGGAUCUAUGUUUCUAUUACAAUCUUCGCAAACUUUCAGAUUACAAAGAAAGGCUAGAAUCAUCAAACUAUAAGUCUUUCAAUUUAUAUACACAUGUUUGAGCAUUUGUCAUGGAACCACCCUGAUUUUAUCUUCGAGUUGGUGGCCGUAUACCCAGCUUCUGCUCCUGUCUUGGCAUUCUGAUUUUAGAUACAGUAAAGAGCAUGUGUUGCUUGAUUAUAUCUCCCUGGACGAGUAAAUCAGAAGUGUAGUGUUCAUAUAAACCUUGUUACAAGGAAAGAUGUUGAAAUAAACAAGUUUUUAUAAAUCUGGUAAAGACGGACCUGGGCUGAACCUGGCAUUGAAGUCAGGGCGAAGAGCUCCGUCUCCUUGCCGGCUACCGCAGGCUGCUGCUGGCGCUGGCGCUGCGCCGCCUUCUUCUGCUGCUUCUUGCUGAGCGUGACUGGGGCGGGGAGGGUGGAGUCUCAGGCAAAAACGUUGUGGCAUCGGUCGCCGAUCCUGGGCGUGGCAGCGGCGGACGAGGGGGCCGCUAGCGCACGCGGCGACCACGACGGCGUGGACGAG